This 28-nucleotide non-coding RNA is filed under the name Mus musculus (house mouse). Lineage: Eukaryota; Metazoa; Chordata; Mammalia; Rodentia; Muridae. The record is from RNAcentral.
UACAGAGUGACUACUUGGGUUGUCUCUG